UACGGGGGGGGCAAGCGUUGUUCGGAAUUACUGGGCGUAAAGGGCGCGUAGGCGGCGUGGUAAGUCAGCUGUGAAAUCUCCGAGCUUAACUCGGAACGGUCAGCUGAUACUGCUGUGCUAGAGUACAGAAGGGGCAAUCGGAAUUCUUGGUGUAGCGGUGAAAUGCGUGGAUAUCAAGAGGAACACCUGAGGUGAAGACGGGUUGCUGGGCUGAUACUGACGCUGAAGCGCGAAAGCUAGGGUAGCAAACGGG
Molecule: ribosomal RNA, 253 nt
Filed under: uncultured bacterium
Lineage: Bacteria
Description: partial 16S ribosomal RNA
Rfam family: Bacterial small subunit ribosomal RNA
Source: RNAcentral